AUACCAAAAGCUAGAUUUUUGAGGGGAAGGUUUUUUAAAAUAACCUUAACCAUCUCCUGCUAUUUGGCAGAAUGAGUAAGACCACACUCCACAGUGGGCUAUACCACCUAGUAUGGUUCAUUACUAUCUUGUGGCCUACAUU
Psammomys obesus (fat sand rat) is the source of this 142-nucleotide small nucleolar RNA. RefSeq annotates it as small nucleolar RNA SNORA4. The transcript has a single exon. The record is from RefSeq and is a predicted model, not a curated record. NCBI's taxonomy places the organism in Eukaryota, Metazoa, Chordata, Mammalia, Rodentia, Muridae.